Molecule: ribosomal RNA, 1050 nt
Filed under: Brevibacterium sp.
Lineage: Bacteria; Bacillati; Actinomycetota; Actinomycetes; Micrococcales; Brevibacteriaceae
Description: bacterial SSU rRNA
Rfam family: Bacterial small subunit ribosomal RNA
Source: RNAcentral
ACAUGCAAGUCGAACGCUGAAGCCUGGUGCUUGCACCGGGUGGAUGAGUGGCGAACGGGUGAGUAACACGUGAGUAACCUGCCCCUGACUUCGGGAUAAGCCCGGGAAACUGGGUCUAAUACCGGAUACGACUGCCGGACGCAUGUCUGGUGGUGGAAAGUUUUUUCGGUUGGGGAUGGGCUCGCGGCCUAUCAGUUUGUUGGUGAGGUAAUGGCUCACCAAGACGACGACGGGUAGCCGGCCUGAGAGGGCGACCGGCCACACUGGGACUGAGACACGGCCCAGACUCCUACGGGAGGCAGCAGUGGGGAAUAUUGCACAAUGGGGGAAACCCUGAUGCAGCGACGCAGCGUGCGGGAUGACGGCCUUCGGGUUGUAAACCGCUUUCAGCAGGGAAGAAGCGCAAGUGACGGUACCUGCAGAAGAAGUACCGGCUAACUACGUGCCAGCAGCCGCGGUAAUACGUAGGGUACGAGCGUUGUCCGGAAUUAUUGGGCGUAAAGAGCUCGUAGGUGGUUGGUCACGUCUGCUGUGGAAACGCAACGCUUAACGUUGCGCGUGCAGUGGGUACGGGCUGACUAGAGUGCAGUAGGGGAGUCUGGAAUUCCUGGUGUAGCGGUGAAAUGCGCAGAUAUCAGGAGGAACACCGGUGGCGAAGGCGGGACUCUGGGCUGUAACUGACACUGAGGAGCGAAAGCAUGGGGAGCGAACAGGAUUAGAUACCCUGGUAGUCCAUGCCGUAAACGUUGGGCACUAGGUGUGGGGGGCAUUCCACGUUCUCCGCGCCGUAGCUAACGCAUUAAGUGCCCCGCCUGGGGAGUACGGUCGCAAGGCUAAAACUCAAAGGAAUUGACGGGGGCCCGCACAAGCGGCGGAGCAUGCGGAUUAAUUCGAUGCAACGCGAAGAACCUUACCAAGGCUUGACAUACACCGGACCGUCCUGGAAACAGGUCCUCUUCUUUGAAGCUGGUGUACAGGUGGUGCAUGGUUGUCGUCAGCUCGUGUCGUGAGAUGUUGGGUUAAGUCCCGCAACGAGCGCAACCCUCGUUC